CCUACGUGGGGCAGCAGUGGGGAAUAUUGCACAAUGGGGGAAACCCUGAUGCAGCGACGCCGCGUGAGCGAUGAAGUAUUUCGGUAUGUAAAGCUCUAUCAGCAGGGAAGAUAAUGACGGUACCUGACUAAGAAGCCCCGGCUAACUACGUGCCAGCAGCCGCGGUAAUACGUAGGGGGCAAGCGUUAUCCGGAUUUACUGGGGGUAAAGGGAGCGUAGACGGUACUGCAAGCCAGAUGUGAAAGCCCGGGGCUCAACCCCGGUACUGCAUUUGCGACUGUAAGGCUAGAGUGUCGGAGAGGCAGGCGGAAUUCCUAGGGUAGCGGUGAAAUGCGUAGAGAUUAGGUGGAACACCAGUGGCGAAGGCGGACGGCUGGACGAUGACUGACGUUGAGGCUCGAAAGCGUGGAGAGCAAACAGGAUUAGAUACCCAAGUAGUC
RNAcentral lists this ribosomal RNA (440 nucleotides) under uncultured bacterium. Its description in RNAcentral is "partial 16S ribosomal RNA". It matches the Rfam family "Bacterial small subunit ribosomal RNA", at positions 338 to 795 of the family's 1533-position model. The record is from RNAcentral.